AUACGGGGGGAGCAAGCGUUGUCCGGAAUUACUGGGCGUAAAGGGCGUGUAGGCGGCUUGAUAAGUCAGAUGUGAAAGCCUUCCGCUUAACGGAAGAACUGCAUUUGAAACUGUCGGGCUUGAGUGCGAGAGAGGGUAGUGGAAUUCCCAGUGUAGCGGUGAAAUGCGUAGAUAUUGGGAAGAACACCAGUAGCGAAGGCGGCUACCUGGCUCGUAACUGACGCUAAGGCGCGAAAGCGUGGGGAGCAAACAGAAUUAGAAACCCCAGUAGUCC
RNAcentral lists this ribosomal RNA (274 nucleotides) under uncultured bacterium. RNAcentral's name for it is "partial 16S ribosomal RNA". It matches the Rfam family "Bacterial small subunit ribosomal RNA", at positions 523 to 796 of the family's 1533-position model. The record is from RNAcentral.